AGCUGAGUCUGUAGAGCAUGAGACUCUUAAUCUCAGGGUCGUGGGUUCAAGCCCCAU
RNAcentral lists this transfer RNA (57 nucleotides) under Rattus norvegicus (Norway rat). It matches the Rfam family "tRNA", at positions 9 to 63 of the family's 71-position model. From Rfam's summary of the family: Transfer RNA (tRNA) molecules are approximately 80 nucleotides in length. The record is from Rfam by way of RNAcentral. Lineage: Eukaryota; Metazoa; Chordata; Mammalia; Rodentia; Muridae.